Molecule: long non-coding RNA, 8997 nt
Filed under: Gossypium barbadense (sea-island cotton)
Lineage: Eukaryota; Viridiplantae; Streptophyta; Magnoliopsida; Malvales; Malvaceae
Description: long non-coding RNA (GBAR_LNC013858)
Rfam family: MIR7502 microRNA precursor family (bases 1715-1859)
Source: RNAcentral
GGUGCACCGUUACAAGUGUCCGCAAUUGUCGUUCGGGUUCUUUCACUGCUAUGGAAGAAGCCCAUUGUUGCUGUUAAUCACUGCGUUGCACAUAUUGAGAUGGGAAGGAUUGUUACUGGGGCCGAUGAUCCUGUUGUGUUGUAUGUUAGUGGUGGGAAUACUCAGGUUAUUGCGUAUAGUGAAGGACGAUAUAGAAUCUUCGGAGAGACUAUUGAUAUUGCUGUUGGGAAUUGCUUGGAUCGGUUUGCUCGUGUUUUAACCCUUUCGAAUGAUCCAAGUCCUGGAUAUAACAUUGAGCAGGUAGUCUAAAAGAUGUUAUAUGGUGUUUUUCAAGUUCGUAGUUGCGGUCAUCUACUGUUAGCUGUUUUGCCACUGAUUGAAUACUUUUAGGUCGAUAAUGCAGUGUAUGCUUCAUACUUUUAAGUGAUUUCAGCCAUUUCGGAUUUGUUUGUCUUGCUGAAGCUCUAUUAAGCAUUUAGUCGAUGUUUUCGGGCUUCUUUUUGAGACAAAUUAGAUGCUUUUAUCAGUGUUUCCAUAUUACUAGAUUUGUUUGUUGUUUCUUUUCUUGGAAUAAAGUUUUUCUCAAACAGCCUAAUGUAUUUCCAGUUUUCUGUUAAACUUUUCUGAUACGAUUUUCUCCAUUUCCAGCUGGCAAAGAAAGGUGAAAAAUUUAUCGAUCUUCCAUACGUGGUCAAAGGGAUGGAUGUUUCGUUUAGUGGAAUAUUGAGCUACAUCGAAGCUACUGCCGAGGAGAAGCUCAAAAAUAAUGAAUGCACCCCUGCGGAUUUAUGCUACUCCCUUCAGGUGAAUUACCCUUUUUCAUUCUUUACUUCAAGAGUAUAUUCAGACUAGGUAAAGUGUCCAAGGAUCCUUUUACAAGCACUCUAUCAUAUCGUUUUCAACUUAUUCUACAAUACAUUACAGGAAACUCUAUUUGCAAUGCUCGUGGAGAUUACGGAACGAGCAAUGGCUCAUUGUGACUCGAAAGAUGUUCUUAUUGUUGGUGGCGUGGGUUGCAAUGAGCGGUUACAAGAGAUGAUGCGAAUAAUGUGUUCCGAGCGAGGUGGGAGAUUGUUUGCAACCGAUGACAGGUACUGCAUCGACAAUGGAGCGAUGAUAGCAUAUACAGGUCUCCUUGCCUUUGCUCAUGGGUACUCAACACCACUCGAGGAGUCAACAUUCACCCAACGGUUUCGUACUGAUGAGGUGCACGCAAUCUGGAGAGAGAAACAAGAGUCGGGUGACUUGAGUGGUCUUCCGGAUGGAGGAAUCUAAAUGCAAGUUGCUAUUAAGGUAUGUAUGUUAUCUGGUUUUUUAAUCUUUAUUUUGUAGUUUUAGAAAGUUUCGAUGGUUAAGUUUCAAAUUUCCAAAGUUUUGUAUUUACUAAACGUAAAACCCUAUUGUUCUCGAUUCAUGCGUGUCGAAUAGGAGUAUGUGUCUAACACAGGCACAUUCAAUUUUUCUAAGGCUUUUCCAUGUACUUGAAAGGUGUUUAGAAGGUCAUAUCCUCAAAACUAUGUUCGAAGCCGUGUCAGAUAAGGUGGCAGUCUAGGGUACUUAAAGAAAAAUGAGGAGUCGAAACAUUAUAGGCUAAACCUGGUAAAAGUAUUAUGGAAGCCCCUGUACUAGGAGUCAGAUUACAUUUUGCCCCCUCUACUAAAAAAUGGGUAGAUUAGUCUCCCUACAUUAGUUCAAAAAGCAUAUUGGUCAUUUCUGUUAAAAAUUUCAUUCACUUGUAUUAUUAAAAGUUGGUGUGGUUAUUGAAAUAACUCGAUAGUGAUAAGUGGCAUACUGUGUGUACAUCAUAUUGACGUAUAGGAAUCAAUUUUUAAUAGUAGAAAUGAAUAAUUUUUUUAAUAGAAAGAAUAUUUGCUCUUUGAUUUAGUAUAAGGGCCUCGAUUGUACUUUUACCACCAAACCUAGAGCACUAGUAGAUUUCAUGCACCUAUGAAAUAUAUUAUUUUCAUUGGGUCAUCGGCAUUUUAGGAGUUCUUUGAUAAACAUCAUGUUUACCGGUACCAUCAGCUAUGUUUCUCCAACUCGUCGUUUUUCUUAUACGCAUGUUCCACCCAUAGAUAUGGGUUAUAACCCUUCAACGAAUCUCCAAAUACACAGAAAAACUUAAAAGGAAACAAACAUACUCGUGUCAGAUACAUACUCGUACAUGAUACUCUCACCUGAGUCCGAGUAGCAUAAGUUAUGACCUAAUCUAACUGAGUUUAGCAUUUAUAUAUUGUUAAUGAUUUGAAUAAAGUUCCACAUAUUUUCAUUACAACAACAUGCUACAUGUUUUUUUUCCAACCAGGUUUCAAUGAUUGUGUUGGGAUCAGGAUCUUGAAGAUUCAGAAAUGAUAUUAUGUAUCAAUUAUAUUGUUUUGUAGUAGACUUUACUAGGAAAAAAAGUUAAGAACAAACUUUAACUCUGUAUUAUGAAUAUGUCUGAAUAUGUAAAUCAUGUUCUGAAUGUGUUUAUUUGGAAUUGGAAGCUUGAAACUUCACUUUUUUUUUCUUCUUUUAUAAUUAACUCAAAAUUAUAUUUCCCUGAGUUUUGCAUUAUAAUUAUUGUUUUAUUAUUACAUUAACAUUAAUAUUUGUUGAGUGAAAUCCAGUUAGAUGUUACCUUAUUCAGACCGAGUUAUCGGAUUAAUCCAAGAUUCAAACUUGAAUCCUUUAAGUUAACAAAUCAUUCCAAGAUUCGAGUACAGAGACCUAUAAGUGAACAAAUCGUUUCAAGAUUUGAACUUAAAAAAAAAGUCAAAUGAAUGUUUUAAUACUAGACGUUAGAUUGCAUUGUCUCUUUUAAUUAAAAAAAAGAGUAAAUUAAUUUAUAUAUUAGAUCAAAAAGUAAAUUGGUAAUUUAGUUUAGAAAUUUAUCUAUUUUUAUUGUUAAAAAUUAAUUUAUGUAUAUUAGUAUAAGGUACAUGUGGCACGAUAUUUCAUCAGUAAUGUCAGUUUUUAUUGAUACAAAUGUAUUGCUUCUUUUUAUUUAACCAUAUAGGUUAAUAUACCCAUUUAGAAUGACAAAAGUACAAUUUGAGUUUUAAUAUAAGGGCUUUCAUAGUAAUUUUCCUAAAAUAUGACUUUGCUUUAUUUUGAUUUGGGAUAAAAAUAAAAUUAAAACAUACUUUGAUUUGAUUGCACAAAUGUGAAAAUUCCAAGGGCCAAAUUGGGUUUAUGAAUUUUUUUAAACAAAAGCAUAGAAUUUAAUUAAUUCAUAUAAUUACUUUUAAAAGAUAAUAUCCAAUCCAAAGCAUGGCAUAAUCCAUGUGUAUUACAAAUGUCCGAUGCUUAAGAUUAAUGUUUCUUGAUACAUAUUUAAAUAUAAAUAUGAGAGGUAAAAGUAUCAUGGAAGUUCAUAAUUGUAAGUUUUCAUUAAAAUUUAUACAUUAAAUUAAAAAGUAAAUCAAUAAUUUAUAUUAAAAAUUUUAUUCAUUUGUACUAUGACGAAAUAACCAAAUAGUGACUUGGGACAUGCCACGUGUAUCGUCCCAUGUGUAUCUUAUGUUGACGUAUAAUGCGCAGUUUUAAUAGUAAAAAUGAAAGGAUUUUUAACCGAAAGACUAAUUUACUCUAAAAUCUAACAUAUUAACAAAAUGUAAUUUAACUCUUAAUGCAUAAAUCUUCACGAUACUUUUACCGAAUAUGAAAACAUAAAAUUCUAAAAACUUUUCAAAUACAUUAAAUAUAUAUGUAAAUAUAUCUUGUGUCCCGAUCUCUCAUUGUUCAUAAAGAUUAACAGCCUACAACCAAUUUACAAAAUCUACACAACAAAAAUAAUAUAUUUGCGAGAAUUUACUUACCCUUUUCAUAGAUUUAUCAAAGGGUCGAACACCAUGAAUGCUACAAAAUAAUGGCUGUGAUGAUCUCUAGAUUCAACCACACUGAUGUUCCGAAUGGCACCCUCGAUCGUUUUCGAAAUGUGUUUGUUCCUUGAUGGAGGCCAAAAAAGGCACUUAAUUCUCCAUUAUCUUGAACACCAUGAAUGCUACAAAUUAUGACUGUGAUGAUCUCUAGAUUCAACUUCUUUGAUGUUUCGAACCACACCCUCGACUUUUUUCGAUAACUGGUUUGUGUGUUCCUCGAUGGAGGCCAAAAAUGCACAUAAUUGUUCCCUACAAAACACUAAUUCUUCAUUUGCUUGAUUCAACUUGGAUGAUUAUUCCUGGAUUUUCUUAUCUUAGUCAUCCUGAUGCAUAAAAAAAGAACAUGGUUGAUUUGAUUUAUAAACUUGUACUCGGCAAAGUUGAAAAAACCAAACCGGAGGUCCAACCGAUUGGACUUUUGAUUCCAUAUUUGACCGGACUGUUCAAUCAUCUUGUAAAUUUGAAGAUUCUGAUGAAGAUGACAUUUCCACAGGAGAUUCUUUCGGUUCUUGUGAAACAGAUAUCUUUGGAAGCAUUUCUUGAUUAUAACCUUUUAAAAAAUUGGUUAAAGGAUUAUUAUAAGAAUGCUUUUCCUUUUGCAUCAUUAGUGACUUUGAAACUUGUUUUGGUGGGGAAGGACUUUCUUCUGCUUCUUCUUCUUCAACAGGCCUUUUUCCUAUGGCCUUCUCUUUUUGUCUUUUUCUUUCUUCUUUCUCCAUCUAUUCCCAGUUUUUAACCGGGUUUAGCUUCCUAGUUCCCGGUUUUUUUACUGGUUUUGGCCGGUUCCCUAAUUUUCUGAUUCAACAUACAUAGUUGAAUUACCGACCAACUUCGACGGGUUGAACAGACAGGUCUGGUAUGGUUUUUCGAUUCAUGGGACUCAAAUAUGUAUAUGAUAAAAGUAUAUUCAAUUUUUUCUAAGAUUUUCACGUAUUUGGAGGAAGGACUACCCGUGUCUAGAUAAGCAUCAAACGUAAGUUCCGGACACAUGUACUUCAAGAAAAACGAAUAGUCGAAGCAACAUAACAAUCCUCUAUCUCUCCGACAAGUAAAAGCAGAACAGUAAGAAAUAUCAGCCUAAUUCUUUCAAACCAAAAAUGAAGGGUAAUAACUUACGGUAUAUGGUUGAUCUUUUCCUGAGGUAACAAAAAGAGGAUGAUUAUGCUCCUUAACGAAUUUCGUGAUAACGUAUUUCCUGGGUUUCUCUCGCUUCACGUUCAUCCUCGCCAUACACCCUUCUCGUUUGCUCUCUCGCUUUCGAACCCGAACACGAGUACUCUUUUGACUGUUCUUAUUAAAACCUUCUUUGUUACAUGCAAGUCGACGAUGGAUGAUUGAUCCAUCGAGCUCACACUUUCGGGACGAGAUAAUUCGUGUUAAAAACCCAUGCGUUUAGUCAUAGAAAGCUUUCGCUGCUUGCAUGGAUUCAAAUAGCAUACCCUCAUAUGGUUCUUGGUUUAGGUUGAGUUUGCGUAACUCAGAUUCAUCUCCUGCACAACUUUCUGCAACUAGAAUCUUUUCUUUGCUUUUUUCGACUUCAGUUACACCGGAUUCGCCAUCUAAAUAACUUUCUAUAAUGAAAACUUUAUCUUCUUUGCUUUUGUCAGCUUUGCUUAUGCCGGCUUCACCUUUGAUUCAACUUUCUGUUAUCUCGAUACGUUCCUCGAGGUUCUCCUUUUCCACUGCAAACCUGGACAAAACAAUUUAUCAUAUGCCAAUAUAAUCACAAACACGAACAACCAUAAUUCGUAAGCAUAUCAGCAUUCUGGAAGUGUGGAGUUAUCGGCUUUCAAAUAGCCGAUAACGUACAAUGGUCUACAAACAUUAGCACAAUUUAUACAUUUACUUGGCGAAAAAAAGCACGCCAUGGUACAAAAUAUCAUAAACAUAAGCUUCAGGAAACUGGUAAUAAUAACAACUUAUUUUGCAAAUCCAAUAUCGUUUAUUGACUCGAAAUUUAGUGAUCACAUAGUAAGUUGAACAGAAACCCUGCAAAUUUAUACAUUUAAUGCUUAUUGAAACACCUAAUUAAUUGGAUAUACACCCACAAACUGGAAUCAUGACCAACAGUCCCUGUAAAUUGAACACAAUUCGAAUUCGAUUAAGCGAAAUCACGAUGAACCAAAUUGAUGACCAGCCGUGUGUGGACUCGGCCCAACUGCUGCGGAGGGACCAAAAUUGUUUGAAAGCCCAACCAUUGGCUUAGUAAAUUCAUCACCAACAACAGCACCAUAGCCUGCCGAGCCUGCCGAAUGCCUAACACCCUGCCCAAUAGACGGCCCAACAGCAGCAUAACCUGCCACACGCCCAACAGACCUAGCGCCAGGCCCAACAGACCCAAAAACACCACCAGUGCCAGCCUUGUUGUCACAACCCUCAAAACAUUGAGGAACGCUAAACUGCAAAUAGGGCGCCGCACCAGAAAGGGAACCAUCCCACCAUGGAUUCGGCUGGUUCGUCAUAAAAGGAAAAGCAUCACCAGAAACCUUCACCGAACCACCAUACGGCACAGAACCAUCCACCACUGCCGCACCCGAACCGUUAUCAACCGACCUCGUGAAGCUCGCACCCCCGAUUCCGGACCACCAUACUCGCGAUUGAAACGGUAAUAGCACAGUUGAGCCAAGUGUCCAAACCGGCCACAUAUCUGGCACUGAGCGCAAGACCGAAACGCUCUCACUCGACUAACAGACGGUCGACCACCGCGCCCAGAGUCAACAACCGCUGGCGUCGAAAAGGCCUCUACGAAAUGAGCAUGGACCGGCACCUCUUGAACCGCUCGAACCUGCCGACUUUCAAAUUCCAACAGAACCUCCACCAAACGCUGAAACGGUAGAGGCUCGGAUGAGAAUGACGCAAGGGUGAGAACGGUAUCAAACUCCGACGGCAGUCCGGCUAAAACGAUUCCAACCUUCUCCGUGUCAGAAAUCCGAGAUCCGGCCGCAUCUAUCAAAGCACACAUGUUCUGAAUCUUCGCAAUUUAAUCCUUAACCGACAUCGCUCCCUUCUUGAUCGAAUAAAGAUCAUGCCGAAUCCGUGAGAGCUUUGCGCCAGAGACGGGAGCAAACAAUCGAGUAGCAGUUAUCCAAACAUCAUUCGCUGUUUUUGCAUCAGUAAAGCUAGGUAAAACAGAAGGAGAAAUAGUAGAAAGGAGCCACGAGGUAAGCAACUUAUCUUGUUGAUUAUACGCUAACGCUUCCGGAUUUGCCAUCAAGGAACCAUCCGGCGACUGCACGAACCUCGGUGGAGCGUUAUCGUGCCAUCAAGAAAGCCAGUCAAAUUAUAACCGUCGGUGAUGAGUCGAAUUUGCUGCCGCCACUGCACAAAACUGUUAUCAUCGAGCUUCACAGUUACGUGUGGAGGAAACGAUUGAAUCAACUGAUUGUUGCUAAACAUGGAGGAACAUGGUGGUGCAACAGUAGAAUCACUGGAAGCAUUGGUAGCCAUGUAGAACGGAAGAUGACAGGUCUCCAAGAAUUAGGCGACUGGUACCAUGACAAAUACUCAACAAAGCAGAGGUAAACAGAAAGAUAAACUGAGAAUUGAGAAAUCUUUAUUCCGCUCCUUUACUGUGUAUCAUUACAACUAUUUAUAUACAUUGUAUGAGUUAGCUAUUGCUAACAACCUUACUAACAGUAUAACAGUCUGUAACAGACUAACAAUCAACUCAACAGCUAAAGGUUCCUUAUACUCUUUAACAUAUGCCAAUAAUCACAAUCACAAACAACCAUAAUUCGUAAGCAUGUCAGCAUUCUGGAAGUGUGGAGUUAUCGGCUUUCAAAUAGCCGAUAACAUACAAUGGUCUACAAGCAUUAGCACAAUUUAUACAUUUACUUGGCGAAAAAAAGCACACCAUGGUACUCAAUAUCAUAAACAUAAGCUUCAGAAAACUGGUAAUAAUAACAACUUAUUUUGCAAUUCCAAUAUCGUUUAGUGAUCACAUAGUAAGUUGAACAGAAACCAUGCAAAUUUAUACAUUUAAUGCUUAUAGAAACACCUAAUUAAUUGGAUAUCCACCCACAAAUAGCAGUGUAAGUGAAACAAUGCUUUUGACUCAAAAAAAAGCUCUGGUUCAAUUCAGUCAUUCUCGAGGUCGAGUUCAAGCUAAUGAAUGAGUGAAGUUUGAGUAUCUUAACACUUGAUUUGAGCAACUCACGAACUUAAUCAAGCUCGAGCUUUUACUAUUUUAUCCAAAAUAUUUAUAUAUGCGACAGACUUAAGCUCAAACUUCAGUAAAAUUGAGUCAAACUCGAGCUUAGAUACACCCACAAAUAAUAGUGUGAGACAAUGCUUUUGACUCGAAAAAGAUCGAAUUCAAUUCAGUCAUUCUCGAGCUGAGUUGAGCUCGAGCUAUCAAGCGAGGCAACUUUUGAGUAUCUCAAUACUUGAUCUGAGCAACUCAUUAACUUAAUCGAGCUUGAGCUUUUACUACUUUAUCCAAAAAUUUGUAUAUGCAAACGGACUCAAGCUCAAACUCGAGUUUGAGUAUAUACACAGUGUAAACAAGCUUAAAUCAAGCUAAGCUCGAGCUUAGAUAAUGGCAUUCAAUUGAGCUAAAACUGAGCUUCAAGCAUCAAGUCUCGAGUGAGCUCGAGCUUCAGACUGUUCUGGCUCUGCUCGACUCUAUCACAGCCCUGCUGGCCACAAAAGAACAUGCACAAGCGCACACAUGUAUAUACAUAUAUGCAUAAGCUAAAUUUAACAUUUUCUUUCCUUUAGCUGUUUGGAAACAGGGAAAGGAAGUGAAUAAAAAAUUAAAUUAAAUUAAAUUAAGAGCUUUUAGUAUUUCUGGUUACUGGUUAGGUCGAGCGAGCCAAGUUUUUCCCGAAUUUUCUUUUCUUCUUUUCAAGUUAUUUCCAUUUUUUUUCUAUUGAUCUGAAAAGCUACAAUCCAGUGGUUUUCUUGAGAAACAAACAGGGAGAUAGCGCAUAUAUAACCACUAAAAAGAAUUCAAAUUAGAAUUUCAGGAAUAAUUCUAAAAAAUUUGGAAAAAGUUAAAUCGCAAAAUCGAAUUAGAAGAAACUAAAAUGCAACAGCAAAGAAAAAAAAUUAUUAUUUUUUAAAAUAUUAAAAAAAAAACUUACUUGAUUUUCUACUUCUUCUCCACUUAUUAUUGUAGAGUGGUUGACAUGUU